GUCAGGAUAGCUCAGUUGGUAGAGCAGANG
Molecule: transfer RNA, 30 nt
Filed under: Restio dodii
Lineage: Eukaryota; Viridiplantae; Streptophyta; Magnoliopsida; Poales; Restionaceae
Description: partial tRNA-Phe
Source: RNAcentral